Molecule: small nuclear RNA, 173 nt
Filed under: Helianthus annuus (common sunflower)
Lineage: Eukaryota; Viridiplantae; Streptophyta; Magnoliopsida; Asterales; Asteraceae
Description: U2 spliceosomal RNA
Rfam family: U2 spliceosomal RNA (bases 35-173)
About the family: U2 is a small nuclear RNA (snRNA) component of the spliceosome (involved in pre-mRNA splicing). Complementary binding between U2 snRNA (in an area lying towards the 5' end but 3' to hairpin I) and the branchpoint sequence (BPS) of the intron results the bulging out of an unpaired adenosine, on the BPS, which initiates a nucleophilic attack at the intronic 5' splice site, thus starting the first of two transesterification reactions that mediate splicing.
Source: RNAcentral
AUAUCAACAAGAUAUUUGAGCUAGGAGUUUCUGAUAAUCUUCAGGAACAUGCCAACGGCCCACUCGAUAUUAAUCUUAUUUUUAUGGGGAAAGGCCCAUCACAAUAGCUUGCUAUUGGGGUCUUUGAGCGUCGCCUUGGCAUUGCACUACUGCCUUGGCCUGGUGCACCCCUC